CAGCCGUAAACAAUGUGCGUUAGGUGUGUCGGUAACCACGCGUUACUGAUGCGCCGAAGAGAAAUCGUGAAACGCACCACCUGGGAAGUACGGUCGCAAAGGCUGAAACUUAAAGGAAUUGGCGGGGGAGCACCACAACAGGUGGAGCCUGCGGUUUAAUUGGAUUCAACGCCGGACAUCUCACCGGAUAAGACAGCUGAAUGAUUGUCAAUCUGAAGGUUUUACAUGACUAGCUGAGAGGUGGUGCAUGGCGUCAGUG
This 259-nucleotide ribosomal RNA is filed under the name uncultured archaeon. RNAcentral describes it as "partial 16S ribosomal RNA". It matches the Rfam family "Archaeal small subunit ribosomal RNA", at positions 748 to 1005 of the family's 1478-position model. The record is from RNAcentral.